This is a long non-coding RNA of Zingiber officinale, 424 nucleotides long. RefSeq lists it as uncharacterized. The transcript is spliced from 3 exons. The record is from RefSeq and is a predicted model, not a curated record. NCBI's taxonomy places the organism in Eukaryota, Viridiplantae, Streptophyta, Magnoliopsida, Zingiberales, Zingiberaceae.
AUUCCUGUGUUGUCAUCAUCGUCAUCCAUGGGUUCACCACUGUUUUGGAUUGGAGUUGGAGUUGGUCUGUCAGUCAUUUUUCAAGUGGUUGCAAAUAGAUUAAAGGUGAGUCCCUUUGCAGCUUGUGCCCUUUGUAAGAUUAUCUCUAUCCUAAGAAUCUUAUUUUCAGUUAGAAAGUGCUUGAUAUUAGAAAUUUAUUUCUAGAUUGUGUGAAUUUCUUUGGAAGUUGGCUUAACAUGUUGUCAUUGGUUUGUGAAAGUACACUGUCCAGGUCUCUUUUGGAAAUAACAAGAUGAUCUUCCUAUCCUUAGAAAGGUUUUGCACAUUCUUGGCUUCCUUUUGUUAGUGCUUUGUAUAUCGUGAAUAAGAAAAUGCUCAUAUCAUAGGGCAGUUAUAUCAUGAAAUAGGUUGGGAUGAUAUGUUC